RNAcentral lists this transfer RNA (65 nucleotides) under Acidimicrobiaceae bacterium. RNAcentral's name for it is "tRNA-Leu". The record is from RNAcentral. Lineage: Bacteria; Bacillati; Actinomycetota; Acidimicrobiia; Acidimicrobiales; Acidimicrobiaceae.
GCGAUGGCGCGGUCCACGUCCUCUUAAUCAACAGGUUCCGGGUUCAAGUCCCGGUCGGCGCACCA